AAAAACUCCGGUGGUAUGAGAUGGGCCCGCGUCUGAUUAGCUAGUUGGCGGGGUAACGGCCCACCAAGGCAACGAUCAGUAGCCGACCUGAGAGGGCGACCGGCCACAUUGGGACUGAGACACGGCCCAAACUCCUACGGGAGGCAGCAGUGGGGAAUAUUGCACAAUGGGGGAAACCCUGAUGCAGCGACGCCGCGUGAGCGAUGAAGUAUUUCGGUAUGUAAAGCUCUAUCAGCAGGGAAGAAGAUGACGGUACCUGACUAAGAAGCCCCGGCUAACUACGUGCCAGCAGCCGCGGUAAUACGUAGGGGGCAAGCGUUAUCCGGAUUUACUGGGUGUAAAGGGAGCGUAGACGGCGGUGCAAGCCAGAUGUGAAAGCCCGGGGCUCAACCCCGGGACUGCAUUUGGAACUGUAUGGCUGGAGUGUCGGAGAGGCAGGCGGAAUUCCUAGUGUAGCGGUGAAAUGCGUAGAUAUUAGGAGGAACACCAGUGGCGAAGGCGGCCUGCUGGACGAUGACUGACGUUGAGACUCGAAAGCGUGGGGAGCAAACAGGAUUAGAUACCCUGGUAGUCCACGCCGUAAACGAUGACUACUAGGUGUCGGGCAGCAAAGCUGUUCG
RNAcentral lists this ribosomal RNA (620 nucleotides) under uncultured bacterium. RNAcentral describes it as "bacterial SSU rRNA". It matches the Rfam family "Bacterial small subunit ribosomal RNA", at positions 202 to 842 of the family's 1533-position model. The record is from RNAcentral.